RNAcentral lists this ribosomal RNA (440 nucleotides) under uncultured bacterium. RNAcentral's name for it is "partial 16S ribosomal RNA". It matches the Rfam family "Bacterial small subunit ribosomal RNA", at positions 338 to 795 of the family's 1533-position model. The record is from RNAcentral.
CCUACGGGAGGCAGCAGUGGGGGAUAUUGCUCAAUGGGGGAAACCCUGAAGCAGCAACGUCGCGUGGAGGAUGAAGGUUUUAGGAUUGUAAACUUUUUUUGUUAGAGAAGUUUAUGACGGUAUCUAACGCUUUUGCACCGGCUAACUCCGUGACAGCAGCCGCGGUAAUACGGAGGGUGCAAGCGUUACUCGGAAUCACUGGGCGUAAAGAGUGCGUAGGCGGGGUAAUAAGUCAGUUGUGAAAUCCUGUAGAUUAACUACAGAACUGCAUUUGAAACUGUUACUCUGGAGUGUAGGGGAGGUAGGUGGAAUUCGUGGUGUAGGGGUAAAAUCCGUAGAGAUCACGAAGAAUACUGAUUGCGAAGGCAACCUACUAAAACGUUACUGACACUGAUGCACGAAAGCGUGGGGAGCAAACAGGAUUAGAUACCCCUGUAGUC